RNAcentral lists this ribosomal RNA (446 nucleotides) under uncultured bacterium. Its description in RNAcentral is "partial 16S ribosomal RNA". It matches the Rfam family "Bacterial small subunit ribosomal RNA", at positions 338 to 795 of the family's 1533-position model. The record is from RNAcentral.
CCUACGGGUGGCUGCAGUCGAGAAUCAUUCACAAUGGGGGAAACCCUGAUGGUGCGACGCCGCGUGGGGGAAUGAAGGUCUUCGGAUUGUAAACCCCUGUCAUGUGGGAGCAAAUUAGAAAGAUAGUCCCACAAGAGGAAGAGACGGCUAACUCUGUGCCAGCAGCCGCGGUAAUACAGAGGUCUCAAGCGUUGUUCGGAAUCACUGGGCGUAAGGCGUGCGUAGGGUGUUUCGUAAGUCGUGUGUGAAAGGCGCGGGCUCAACCCGCGGACGGCAACUGAUACUGGGAGACUAGAGGAAUGGAGGGGGAACCGGAAUUCUAGGUGUAGCAGUGGAAUGCGUAGAUAUCGAGAGGAACACUCGUGGCGAAGGCGGGUUCCUGGACAGUAACUGACGCUGAGGCACGAAGGCCAGGGGAGCGAAAGGGAUUAGAUACCCUUGUAGUC